RNAcentral lists this ribosomal RNA (309 nucleotides) under uncultured eukaryote. Its description in RNAcentral is "partial 18S ribosomal RNA". It matches the Rfam family "Eukaryotic small subunit ribosomal RNA", at positions 1470 to 1796 of the family's 1831-position model. The record is from RNAcentral.
CCCUUAGAUGUUCUGGGCGGCCCGCGCACUACAUUGGCACUAACAAAGAGAUCCUAGAUUGAAUUCUUUGGGGUAUUCUUCUAAAUGGUGUCGUGACUGGGAUAAAUCCUUGUAAUUAUUGGUUUUGAACGAGGAAUUCCUUGUAAUCGCGGUUUAUCAGCUCGCGUUGAAUGCGUCCCUGCCCUUUGUACACACCGCCCGUCGCUCCUACCGAUGGAUCGUCCGGUGAAGCUCACGGAGUGACUGUUCACGCAACGGUUUACGAAGUGAAAUGGACCUCACGAUUUAGAGGAAGGAGAAGUCGUAACA